Molecule: ribosomal RNA, 253 nt
Filed under: uncultured bacterium
Lineage: Bacteria
Description: partial 16S ribosomal RNA
Rfam family: Bacterial small subunit ribosomal RNA
Source: RNAcentral
UACGUAGGCAGCGAGCGUUGUUCGGAGUUACUGGGCGUAAAGAGUGCGUAGGCGGUUUUCUAAGUUUGGUGUGAAAUCUCCCGGCUUAACUGGGAGGGUGCGCCGAAGACUGGAAGGCUUGAGUAUGGGAGAGGUAAGCGGAAUUCCACGUGUAGCGGUGAAAUGCGUAGAUAUGUGGAGGAACACCUGUGGCGAAGGCGCCUUGCUGGCAAAUUUCUGACGCUGAGGCGCGAAAGCGUGGGGAGCAAACAGG